This 274-nucleotide ribosomal RNA is filed under the name uncultured bacterium. RNAcentral's name for it is "partial 16S ribosomal RNA". It matches the Rfam family "Bacterial small subunit ribosomal RNA", at positions 523 to 796 of the family's 1533-position model. The record is from RNAcentral.
AUACGAAGGUCCCAAGCGUUAUUCGGAAUCACUGGACGUAAAGAGUACGUAGGCGGUUUGGUAAGUCAGGUGUGAAAUCCCGGAGCUCAACUCCGGAACUGCAUCCGAUACUGCCAGACUUGAGUAAUGGAGAGGCAGGUGGAAUUCUCGGUGUAGCAGUGAAAUGCGUGGAUAUCGAGAGGAAGACCAAUGGCGAAGGCAGCCUGCUGGACAUUUACUGACGCUGAGGUACGAAGGCUAGGGGAGCGAAAGGGAUUAGAAACCCCGGUAGUCC